RNAcentral lists this microRNA precursor (78 nucleotides) under Dasypus novemcinctus (nine-banded armadillo). RNAcentral's name for it is "miRNA (ENSDNOG00000049589.1)". Lineage: Eukaryota; Metazoa; Chordata; Mammalia; Cingulata; Dasypodidae. The record is from RNAcentral.
UAGGAUUAACAACCAUCCUGGUUUGCCUGGGAUUGAGGCGUUUUCUGGGCAAACCAUGAAAGUCCACUCAAAACCAAG